UUUAUGGAGAGUUUGAUCCUGGCUCAGGAUGAACGCUGGCGGCGUGCCUAAUACAUGCAAGUCGAGCGAACGGACGAGAAGCUUGCUUCUCUGAUGUUAGCGGCGGACGGGUGAGUAACACGUGGAUAA
Molecule: ribosomal RNA, 129 nt
Filed under: Staphylococcus aureus
Lineage: Bacteria; Bacillati; Bacillota; Bacilli; Caryophanales; Staphylococcaceae
Description: partial 16S ribosomal RNA
Rfam family: Bacterial small subunit ribosomal RNA
Source: RNAcentral